UAAAAAUAAAACAAAAAACGCCAAACCCACACACUUCAGACUUCACAACCCGACCCUCUCUCUCUCUCUUCACACUGAAAUUUUCUUCACCACCACCUCCUAGAUUCCUCCAUCACCACCAAGCCGCGCCGCACCGCACCUUACCUUACUGCGAUUCCACCUUCCAACUCCUAGAUCCUCAUCAUGCUUGAUGCUUUGGGUGUUUUUAUUCUCAUCUCUAUGCAAUUGUGGAUUGUCAAAUCAAGGGUUUGUGAUUCGAAGUAGAUGACGAAUCUUCGUCUUGAAGAUCUACAUGAAGUUGAUCUACAUGAAUCUGUCACCAUUAAUGACGGGUAAGGGAAUGACUUCAAGAUGGCAUCCUUACCUCUUGCAUUUGCCGUAAAGUUACAAUGUUUUAGCCAUGUUUGGUAAAUUUGAGAAACUUUCCUUGCAUAUUGAUAUUUUGAUGCAUUUCUUGUUAUGUUUCAAUGGAAUUGUUGGCAAUUGGCAUUGACUUCGUUCUCCCAAGGAGAUAAAAAAGGCAUGGCUUUGUUCUAGUAAGGAGAUAACUUUUUUUGAAGGUAAUAUCUAUCCUAAGAUUAAGUUCUUUCUAUGGAAUCUGCUGUUUUCAUAUAACCUCGAUCUUGUUUUGUAAGUUUACGGCCAUUUUUAAGGCAGUUUUCAAGUAUGUAUGUGUGACAUGCAUGUUAGACAUAUAUCUUAUAAUUGUACCUCAUGUCAUGCUUAUAGAAUUCACAAGUAUUCACUGUGAUUGUUUGAAAUCCCCUUUUUCUCCCUUUCUAGGUUGUAAGGAAAGACUAUUUCUUAGACAACUUUUGUGUUUGAAAGAUGAGUAGCAAUAACUUAAAUUUAUAACUAUAAAGACAAAAGGCAUGGUAAGCCAUUCGUUCCUUAUGCAAUUUGAACAGAAAAGUGAAGGAAGAAAGCACCACAGCCUCAUAUUUAUCUGUGAGCAAUGCCAAUAAGUGAGCCACACAUGUUUUUAAAGCUCCAUUGAUGAAUUCUCAUAUUAACGUCCUUUCCGAGAUUUCUUCAUGGUCGCGGUAACACGACUCGUCGUCAAAGGUGAAUUCCUUUUUCAACGAGCAUGUUGCAAAGGUCUGUAAUUAAUAUUCUUCCAAACAAUAUUUAGAGGUUUUCUUGCUGGCCAAAUGGUUGUGUAAUCUAUUAGCAUUUCUAUUUCAUUCAAGUUUUUUGGCUAUAUUUUAAUUUUAGAGCCCUGAUAUAUGGAAAAGAAUUACAUUUAGAUUGUGAUUACUUGUAAACUCAUGUAUAUUUAUUGAUGUAACUUCAAUUGAGUUAUAUUAUUCAAAUGAUAUGUUGUACUAAAUGGGUGUAUGAGAUUUGGGAUAUUUUAGAUUCAAUGACAGGUCUGAUAUGAAAUUUGCUCA
Medicago truncatula (barrel medic) is the source of this 1391-nucleotide long non-coding RNA. RefSeq lists it as uncharacterized. The record is from RefSeq and is a predicted model, not a curated record. NCBI's taxonomy places the organism in Eukaryota, Viridiplantae, Streptophyta, Magnoliopsida, Fabales, Fabaceae. The transcript has 5 exons.